This 31-nucleotide non-coding RNA is filed under the name Mus musculus (house mouse). Lineage: Eukaryota; Metazoa; Chordata; Mammalia; Rodentia; Muridae. The record is from RNAcentral.
UGCUUCAGUCCUGCAUUGAGGUUGGACCAUU